UACGGAGGAUGCGAGCGUUAUCCGGAUUUAUUGGGUUUAAAGGGUGCGUAGGCGGAUCGUUAAGUCAGUGGUCAAAUUGAGGGGCUCAACCCCUUCCCGCCAUUGAGACUGGCGAUCUUGAGUGGAAGAGAAGUAUGCGGAAUGCGUGGUGUAGCGGUGAAAUGCAUAGAUAUCACGCAGAACCCCGAUUGCGAAGGCAGCAUGCCGGCUUCCGACUGACGCUGAAGCACGAAAGCGUGGGGAUCGAACAGG
RNAcentral lists this ribosomal RNA (252 nucleotides) under uncultured bacterium. Its description in RNAcentral is "partial 16S ribosomal RNA". It matches the Rfam family "Bacterial small subunit ribosomal RNA", at positions 524 to 776 of the family's 1533-position model. The record is from RNAcentral.